CGCUUUCACUCCUACGGGAGGCAGCAGUGGGGAAUAUUGCACAAUGGGCGCAAGCCUGAUGCAGCCAUGCCGCGUGUGUGAAGAAGGCCUUCGGGUUGUAAAGCACUUUCAGUCGUGAGGAAGGUAGUGUAGUUAAUAGCUGCAUUAUUUGACGUUAGCGACAGAAGAAGCACCGGCUAACUCCGUGCCAGCAGCCGCGGUAAUACGGAGGGUGCGAGCGUUAAUCGGAAUUACUGGGCGUAAAGCGCAUGCAGGUGGUUUGUUAAGUCAGAUGUGAAAGCCCGGGGCUCAACCUCGGAAUUGCAUUUGAAACUGGCAGACUAGAGUACUGUAGAGGGGGUAGAAUUUCAGGUGUAGCGGUGAAAUGCGUAGAGAUCCGAAGGAAUACCGGUGGCGAAGGCGGCCCCCUGGACAGAUACUGACACUCAGAUGCGAAAGCGUGGGGAGCAAACAGGAUUAGAUACCCUGGUAG
RNAcentral lists this ribosomal RNA (472 nucleotides) under uncultured bacterium. RNAcentral's name for it is "bacterial SSU rRNA". It matches the Rfam family "Bacterial small subunit ribosomal RNA", at positions 328 to 793 of the family's 1533-position model. The record is from RNAcentral.